RNAcentral lists this ribosomal RNA (253 nucleotides) under uncultured bacterium. Its description in RNAcentral is "partial 16S ribosomal RNA". It matches the Rfam family "Bacterial small subunit ribosomal RNA", at positions 524 to 776 of the family's 1533-position model. The record is from RNAcentral.
UACGGAGGAUCCAAGCGUUAUCCGGAAUCAUUGGGUUUAAAGGGUCCGUAGGCGGUUUUGUAAGUCAGUGGUGAAAGCCCAUCGCUCAACGGUGGAACGGCCAUUGAUACUGCAAGACUUGAAUUAUUAGGAAGUAACUAGAAUAUGUAGUGUAGCGGUGAAAUGCUUAGAGAUUACAUGGAAUACCAAUUGCGAAGGCAGGUUACUACUAAUGGAUUGACGCUGAUGGACGAAAGCGUUGGGAGCGAACAGG